RNAcentral lists this long non-coding RNA (455 nucleotides) under Neodiprion lecontei (redheaded pine sawfly). RNAcentral describes it as "uncharacterized LOC124293110". The record is from RNAcentral. Lineage: Eukaryota; Metazoa; Arthropoda; Insecta; Hymenoptera; Diprionidae.
UUCUUGGAAGGUUACUGAAAAAAAUCCUAUUUUCAGGCUGGAACACCUCGAAAAGUCACGGAAUUUCGGGUUCCAAAAAGCGUACGAACCCUGAAAACAGUGAUUUGAUUGAAGUAUAGGUACCCGAGAGCAGAAUGUAUACAUAGAUCAUAAAUAAUAAUAGAUCAGAUGUAAUAAUGAUGCUGAGACCAAGAAAAGAAAUAGUGAGCAAGCGUCCAGCAGGUAUACGAGCGGUUUUUUGAAGUUUUCAACCAGUUUUUUGAAGAGUCUGAACCAGUUUUUUCAAGAUCUGAAGGGCAACUCUAUUGACCAGGAAUCGCCGAUUAGCAUAUUAAUGCGAUGGAAAUUGCGACCUGCACCUUUCCGGCCGCACGACAAAUGCAUACUCGAGACGCCUCGGUGAAAUGCUUGUACCAGGCAUAAUAUGACAUGUAUCCUAGUGAAAAAAUUCGAGA